UUAGGAAUAUUGGUCAAUUGGCGAGAGCCUGAACCAGCCAAGUAGCGUGCAGGAUGACGGCCCUAUGGGUUGUAAACUGCUUUUAUAUGGGAAUAAAGUGAGGGACGUGUCCCUUAUUGCAUGUACCAUACGUAUAAGGACCGGCUAAUUCCGUGCCAGCAGCCGCGGUAAUACGGAAGGUCCAGGCGUUAUCCGGAUUUAUUGGGUUUAAAGGGAGCGUAGGCUGUUUGUUAAGCGUGUUGUGAAAUGUAGGAGCUCAACUUUUAGAUUGCAGCGCGAACUGGCAGACUUGAGUGCGCACAACGUAGGCGGAAUUCAUGGUGUAGCGGUGAAAUGCUUAGAUAUCAUGACGAACUCCGAUUGCGAAGGCAGCUUACGGGAGCGCAACUGACGCUAAAGCUCGAAGGUGCGGGUAUCGAACAGG
RNAcentral lists this ribosomal RNA (424 nucleotides) under Verrucomicrobiota bacterium. Its description in RNAcentral is "Verrucomicrobia bacterium partial 16S ribosomal RNA". It matches the Rfam family "Bacterial small subunit ribosomal RNA", at positions 355 to 776 of the family's 1533-position model. The record is from RNAcentral. Lineage: Bacteria; Pseudomonadati; Verrucomicrobiota.